Molecule: ribosomal RNA, 253 nt
Filed under: uncultured bacterium
Lineage: Bacteria
Description: partial 16S ribosomal RNA
Rfam family: Bacterial small subunit ribosomal RNA
Source: RNAcentral
UACGGAGGGGGCUAGCGUUGUUCGGAAUUACUGGGCGUAAAGCGCGCGUAGGCGGACCGGCAAGUCGGGGGUGAAAGCCCGAGGCUCAACCUCGGAACUGCCUUCGAUACUGCGGGUCUCGAGUCCGGGAGAGGUGAGUGGAAUUCCUAGUGUAGAGGUGAAAUUCGUAGAUAUUAGGAAGAACACCAGUGGCGAAGGCGGCUCACUGGCUCGGUACUGACGCUGAGGCGCGAAAGCGUGGGGAGCAAACAGG